ACGUAGGGUGCAAGCGUUGUCCGGAUUUAUUGGGCGUAAAGAGCUCGUAGGCGGUUAGUCACGUCGGAUGUGAAAACUCAGAGCUUAACUCUGAGCCUGCAUUCGAUACGGGCUGACUAGAGUGUUGUAGGGGAGACUGGAACUCCUGGUGUAGCGGUGAAAUGCGCAGAUAUCAGGAAGAACACCGGUGGCGAAGGCGGGUCUCUGGGCAACUACUGACGCUGAGGAGCGAAAGCGUGGGGAGCAAACAGGAUUAGAUACCCUGGUAGUCCACGCCGUAAACGGUGGGCGCUAGGUGUGGGGAACAUUCCACGUUCUCCGUGCCGCAGCUAACGCAUUAAGCGCCCCGCCUGGGGAGUACGGCCGCAAGGCUA
This 374-nucleotide ribosomal RNA is filed under the name uncultured bacterium. RNAcentral describes it as "bacterial SSU rRNA". It matches the Rfam family "Bacterial small subunit ribosomal RNA", at positions 525 to 896 of the family's 1533-position model. The record is from RNAcentral.